GCAGCUGAGCAGAGCCAGACACCAGACUAGACGGCCUUGCGAGACUUAGUGGCUGUGGGAUCGGGGAAAUAGCUUAGUCUUUUUCUGUCUCAAUUUCCUCGGCUAUAAAACUGAGAUGAUGAGAGUACCUAGCUCCUAGGACUGUGGGAGGGCUGCAGGAGUCCUGAGGUGUCCUCGGAGCAGCGCACACACACACUAGCUCAGCAUCACUGCUAACUCACGUUUUUACUCGCUGAGUGUUUCCAGAGCUCCGACCGCUUGUCCAGCAGCAUGCACGGGGCAGAGAAGUGGGAGUGCUGGCUCAUGUCUCUAAGCUUAACUUAAAGAUUACGAGACUAUUAAAACCUAGUCGUCAUAAACCAGUUAGCAUUAUGUGGCCCCCCUGUGGGCCGAUUUUAUUUCCUUUUCUCAGAGCCCUGCUGGGAGGUGUAAUCUCUGCGGAUGCAGUGGGAACAGUGACUUGCUUGAGGUGGCCGGCGAGGGUCUGGAGUACUGCGAGGUUGGGAUGAAGACGUACCCCUACAGCCAUCUCGAUUGUCGAUCUCUCCCCGCUGGACUCUCACCCCACGAGAACAGGGGCCCUGUCGGUCUGUCCUCUGUGGCCCCGAUGCCCAGUGCAGGGCCUGGCUAGUGGUGGGUGCCUGGAUAAACAAAGGCACGGAGAGAUGGAUGCUGCCCACAUUGGUCUUCUCCCAGCUGUCUGGUCUGGGGCCACCUUUGGGUCAGCUGUACCCACACCUGCCUGGUCUCCCGUUCUCAGACAGAAGCCCAAGAACAGCAGGAGGACCACUUAGAAGAGAGGAACUUGCUGACAGCCCCCGCCUGAUCAAGCAUCUCACAGGAGCAUGGGGAAGCCACAAUGAAGCUUUAGCCACAUGCCCCGCCUCCCC
RNAcentral lists this long non-coding RNA (890 nucleotides) under Equus caballus (horse). RNAcentral's name for it is "lncRNA (ENSECAG00000045413.1)". The record is from RNAcentral. Lineage: Eukaryota; Metazoa; Chordata; Mammalia; Perissodactyla; Equidae.